Molecule: long non-coding RNA, 345 nt
Organism: Hippocampus zosterae (dwarf seahorse)
Lineage: Eukaryota; Metazoa; Chordata; Actinopteri; Syngnathiformes; Syngnathidae
Exons: 5
Source: RefSeq, a predicted model, not a curated record
ACCGUUGGAGGUACCAGGGGUAUGGCUGGGGGUACCAGGGGUGCUGCUGGGGGUACCAGGGGUGCUGCUGGGGGUACCAGGGGUAAGGCUGGGGGUACCAGGGGUAUGGCUGGGGGUACCAGGGGUGCUGCUGGGGGUACCAGGGGUAAGGCUGGGGGUACCAGGGGUAUGGCUGGGGGUACCAGGGGUGCUGCUGGGGGUACCAGGGGUGCUGCUGGGGGUACCAGGGGUAAGGCUGGGGGUACCAGGGGUAUGGCUGGGGGUACCAGGGGUGCUGCUGGGGGUACCAGGGGUAUGGCUGGGGGUACCAGGGGUGCUGCUGGGGGUACCAGGGGUAAGGCUGGG